GACCCUUUCGGGGGUGAGAGCGGCGGACGGGUGCGCAACGCGUAUGCAACCUGCCUUAUGCAGGGGGAUAGCCCAUGGAAACGUGGAUUAAUACCCCAUAGGUCAUAUUGUUCGCCUGGGCGAUAUGUUAAAGCUUCGGUGGUAAAAGAUGGGCAUGCGUGACAUUAGAUUGUUGGCGGGGUAACGGCCCACCAAGUCUGCGAUGUCUAGGGGUUCUGAGAGGAUGAUCCCCCACACUGGUACUGAGACACGGACCAGACUCCUACGGGAGGCAGCAGUGAGGAAUAUUGGUCAAUGGGCGCAAGCCUGAACCAGCCAUCCCGCGUGAAGGAAGACUGCCCUAUGGGUUGUAAACUUCUUUUAUGUACCAAGAAUGUGAGCUACGUGUAGCUUUUUGACGGUAGUACAUGAAUAAGCAUCGGCUAACUCCGUGCCAGCAGCCGCGGUAAUACGGAGGAUGCGAGCGUUAUCCGGAUUCAUUGGGUUUAAAGGGUGUGUAGGCGGCUUAUUAAGUCAGUGGUGAAAUCCUGCGGCUCAACCGUAGAACUGCCAGGGAGACUGAUAAUCGGGAAUAGAGUUGAGGUAGGCGGAAUGUGGAUUGUAGUGGUGAAAUGCUUAGAUAUUACUCAGAACCCCGAUUGCGAAGGCAUCUUACUAAACUAUUAUUGACGCUGAUGCACGAAAGCGUGGGGAGCGAACAGGAUUAGAUACCCUGGUAGUCCACGCCGUAAACGAUGAUAACUAGCUGUUUGCGAUACACAGUAAGCGGCAAAGCGAAAGCAUUAAGUUAUCCACCUGGGGAGUACGGUCGCAAGAUUGAAACUCAAAGGAAUUGACGGGGGCCCGCACAAGCGGAGGAACAUGUGGUUUAAUUCGAUGAUACGCGAGGAACCUUACCUGGGCUUAAAUGUAUUUUGUAUGAUUUGGAAACAGAUCUUUCCUUCGGGACUAAUUACAAGGUGCUGCAUGGUUGUCGUCAGCUCGUGCCGUGAGGUGUCGGGUUAAGUCCCAUAACGAGCGCAACCCCUAUCGUUAGUUGCCAGCGGGUCAUGCCGGGGACUCUAGCGAGACUGCCACCGUAAGGUGAGAGGAAGGUGGGGAUGACGUCAAAUCAGCACGGCCCUUAUGUCCAGGGCUACACACGUGUUACAAUGGCCGAUACAAAGGGCAGCUACCUGGUGACAGGAUGCUAAUCUCUAAAGUCGGUCCCAGUUCGGAUUGGAGUCUGCAACCCGACUCCAUGAAGUUGGAUUCGCUAGUAAUCGGAUAUCAGCAAUGAUCCGGUGAAUACGUUCCCGGGCCUUGUACACACCGCCCGUCAAACCAUGGAAGCUGGGGGUGCC
Molecule: ribosomal RNA, 1343 nt
Filed under: uncultured prokaryote
Description: partial 16S ribosomal RNA
Rfam family: Bacterial small subunit ribosomal RNA
Source: RNAcentral